AUAUCACUAAGCGGAGGAAAAGAAAUUAACUAAGAUUGCCUCAGUAACGGCGAGUGAAGCGGCAAAAGCCCAAACUGGAAAUCUUCACACUGCGUGUGACGAAUUGUAAUCUACAGGUGGGAUACUCAACGAGCGGUGACGCAGAAGUGACCUAGAAUGGUCUGCCAGAGAGGGUGACAGCCCCGUAUGUGGUGCCAUCGCUUAACGAGCUGGGUUUCGAAGAGUCGGGUUGUUUAGUAUUGCAGCCCUAAGUGGGAGAUAAACUUCUUCUAAGGCUAAAUAUCUACGGGAGACCGAUAGCGCACAAGUA
This 310-nucleotide ribosomal RNA is filed under the name uncultured eukaryote. RNAcentral describes it as "partial large subunit ribosomal RNA". It matches the Rfam family "Eukaryotic large subunit ribosomal RNA", at positions 40 to 350 of the family's 3401-position model. The record is from RNAcentral.